AACGAACGCUGGCGGCAUGCCUAACACAUGCAAGUCGAACGAGACCUUCGGGUCUAGUGGCGCACGGGUGCGUAACGCGUGGGAACCUGCCCUUAGGUUCGGAAUAACUCCCCGAAAGGGGUGCUAAUACCGGAUAAUGUCUUCGGACCAAAGAUUUAUCGCCUUUGGAUGGGCCCGCGUUGGAUUAGCUAGUUGGUAGGGUAAAAGCCUACCGAGGCGACGAUCCAUAGCUGGUCUGAGAGGAUGAUCAGCCACACUGGGACUGAGACACGGCCCAGACUCCUACGGGAAGCAGCAGUGGGGAAUAUUGGACAAUGGGCGAAAGCCUGAUCCAGCAAUGCCGCGUGAGUGAUGAAGGCCUUAGGGUUGUAAAGCUCUUUUACCCGGGAUGAUAAUGACAGUACCGGGAGAAUAAGCUCCGGCUAACUCCGUG
Molecule: ribosomal RNA, 433 nt
Filed under: uncultured bacterium
Lineage: Bacteria
Description: partial 16S ribosomal RNA
Rfam family: Bacterial small subunit ribosomal RNA
Source: RNAcentral